This 761-nucleotide long non-coding RNA is filed under the name Homo sapiens (human). RNAcentral's name for it is "HSALNT0338963". The record is from RNAcentral. Lineage: Eukaryota; Metazoa; Chordata; Mammalia; Primates; Hominidae.
CCGUCAACACCGCUUCGUACAGCCGAACUCUGAUACACGCUGCCACGCGGGCAAACCCCGAAAACACGCCCAGCCAGUCACAGAGACCUGUCGACACAACUCCGUGCCCAGGGGAUGUCCUGGAGGGGCACGUCAGGGCUCAGGGCCAGUGGAAAUGUGCCACGGUUAGACUGGUCGCGGCUGCGCACUGAAUGUGCCGGGAGGAACGGAACGGUAGACUAAUGGAGCGCUAGACGUGAGGGUGCACCCCGCCAGCGUCAGCAAGACAGCUGCUCCCAAUGGUAGGCCGGGCAACCCACUCACGGCUCCUACAGCACCUCCUCUCUGCCGGCCUCAGGCGGCUCUGGAAGAAUGAUGCCCUAAUAUACCGCGCUGCCCUCCAGGUGGGGGUGGGGGUGGACGGAGACAGGCAGGAGUAACCAGUGCUACUCUCCCAGCUCAAACCCCACACGAAGGCAGACCCAGCGUUUGCAAAACACCAGCCCCCGGUGAACAAGUCGACCUGCUGUGCAGCCCACCUCUGACUCCGUUUCCCCCAGCGUACCCAGCCACAUUGGGAGGCUCCACCUCGGUCUAACGCUCCGGCAUUAGCAGGACCUGCUGAAUGAGUGGCGCCGGGCCCAUCCAUCUCUGCCAUCGCUGCUCAGCCCUCUGCCAUGUUCAAAUAUCACACAGUCCCCAGGUACCUCGUAAAUCACUGUAAUUACGGGCUGCUCACUUAAAAUUAAACUGCAAUUUUUUAAAAAGCAAAUUGCCAGUAA